Molecule: ribosomal RNA, 253 nt
Filed under: uncultured bacterium
Lineage: Bacteria
Description: partial 16S ribosomal RNA
Rfam family: Bacterial small subunit ribosomal RNA
Source: RNAcentral
UACAGAGGGUGCGAGCGUUAAUCGGAAUUACUGGGCGUAAAGGGUGCGUAGGUGGUGGCAUAAGUUAGGUGUGAAAGUCCUGGGCUUAACCUGGGGAUUGCGCCUAAUACUGUGAGGCUUGAGUAUUGUAGAGGAAAGUGGAAUUUCCGGUGUAGCGGUGAAAUGCGUAGAUAUCGGAAGGAACAUCAGUGGCGAAGGCGACUUUCUGGACAAAUACUGACACUGAGGCCCGAAAGCAUGGGGAGCAAACAGG